Non-coding RNA from Labrus bergylta (ballan wrasse), 405 nucleotides. Lineage: Eukaryota; Metazoa; Chordata; Actinopteri; Labriformes; Labridae. The record is from RefSeq and is a predicted model, not a curated record.
CCAUCUCGUGUUAAAUGUCGUCAUCACAGGCAAGUUCAACAUCUGUGUGGCUCCUGCCCUCAGGCCUCUGGAUGUGUCUUUUAUCAGCUGUGGAGAGGCGCACUCUGCAGUGUUAACAAAGGACGGUAGAGUUUUCAACUUUGGAGAAGGAAGCAACGGUCAGCUCGGUCACAACUCCACUGACAAUGAAAAGGCUCCUAGAUUGCUUGACGGUCUGGACGGAUCUGCCACACAGAUUUCAUGUGGCAGACGUCACACCCUGGUGUUGGGCUCCUCUGGCCGACUGUGGGCUUUUGGUCAUGGGGCAAAGGGUCAAAUUGGGACUGGAGGAACAGGUGAUUGUCUGACGCCCACUCAAGUACAACUUCCAUGGACCAGUGACAAUGGAGCCGCCAAACCCGAAGG